Molecule: long non-coding RNA, 439 nt
Organism: Maniola jurtina (meadow brown)
Lineage: Eukaryota; Metazoa; Arthropoda; Insecta; Lepidoptera; Nymphalidae
Exons: 2
Source: RefSeq, a predicted model, not a curated record
UGACAAAGAAAGCUCCAAUAAAAAUAAUAAAAAAUCUCACUUAUUAUUUUAAAAGUUAUUUAUCAUUCUACAAUGUUCGUGAAAAAUAAUCACACCUGUAGAAAAAAAUUGCCGAAAUGCUAAAAUUUUUAUUUUUCAAGUUGGAACAUUAGUUUAUAGCUCUAGCAACUCUAUGAUUUGCCUUGUUAUGACUAGUGUAGGCCAUAUUUCUGCAAGUGAUAGCAUUUCAGAGAAUCAUUAAGUUGUAUAGGCGUUCUACACCAGUGUCAAAGUUGAAGUCUCAUUUCUGUACUCAAUAAAAAAAAUUUUUUCAGGCAUAUCAGGCAAAACGCGAUUGGAGAAAGAAAAAGAGUAACGUUUAGGAAGAACAAAAAAAGGCUUGGAUACCGAAGAAGAGACAAAAAAUGACCAAAGCUGGACCGGAAGGAGCACAUCGAAA